This 424-nucleotide ribosomal RNA is filed under the name uncultured bacterium. RNAcentral describes it as "partial 16S ribosomal RNA". It matches the Rfam family "Bacterial small subunit ribosomal RNA", at positions 360 to 776 of the family's 1533-position model. The record is from RNAcentral.
AAUUUGUGACAAUGGGGGAAACCCUGAUCCAGCCAUGCCGCGUGGGUGAAGAAGGUCUUCGGAAUGUAAAGCACUUUAAGUUGGGAGGAAGGGCUUUAGGCUAAUACCCUGAAGUUUUGACGUUACGAACAGAAUAAGCACCGGCUAACUCUGUGCCAGCAGCCGCGGUAAUACAGAGGGUGCAAGCGUUAAUCGGAAUUACUGGGCGUAAAGCGCGCGUAGGUGGUUCAGUAAGAUGGGUGUGAAAUCCCCGGGCUUAACCUGGGAACUGCUUUCAUAACUGCUGAGCUAGAGUACGGUAGAUGGUAGUGGAAUUUCCUGUGUAGCGGUGAAAUGCGUAGAUAUAGGAAGGAACACCAGUGGCGAAGGCGACUACCUGGACUGAUACUGACACUGAGGUGCGAAAGCGUGGGGAGCAAACAGG